CCUUCGGGGUGCAGCAGUGAGGAAUAUUGGGCAAUGGAGGAAACUCCGACCCAGCCAUGCCGCGUGAGUGAAGAAGGUUUUCGAAUUGUAAAGCUCUUUCGGCUGUGAAGAUGAUGACGGUAACCUCUAAAGACUCCCCGGCAAACUUCGUGCCAGCAGCCGCGGUCAGACGAAGGGGGCAAGCGUUGUUCGGAAUUACUUGGCGUAAAGGGUGUGUAGGCGGGAAAGUAAGAUAGGGGUGAAAUGCCUGAGCUCAACUUGGGAACUGCCAUUAUAACUAUUUUUCUAGAGUGACAGAGAGGAUAUUGGAAUACCCAGUGUAGAGGUGAAAUUCGUAGAUAUUGGGUAGAACACCGGAGGCGAAGGCGAGUAGCUGGAUGUCAACUGACGCUGAGGCACGAAAGCAUGGGGAUCAAACAGGAUUAGAUACCCGUGUAGUC
RNAcentral lists this ribosomal RNA (440 nucleotides) under uncultured bacterium. Its description in RNAcentral is "partial 16S ribosomal RNA". It matches the Rfam family "Bacterial small subunit ribosomal RNA", at positions 338 to 795 of the family's 1533-position model. The record is from RNAcentral.